CCGACCCCGAAGGAAGGGAAAGGAAGGAGUCCUCCAGGGAGCGCCCUGGAAGGACGGCCCGCACACCGGGAGCACCCGGCAUGCCGACGGGAGCGCCCGUCGGCCGUACGGCGGACUGGAGUCGGGAGCCGGAGGAUCACCACGAAGGUAAUGCUGAUACGCUCUAUCUGCAUUGAGCAAGCCGCUCGUGUGUGAUGCUCGUCAUCAUGGUGGAAGUAACAAGAGUCUCGCACAUCGCACAAUACCGUCAUGUUCGUUUAAACAGCGUAAAAACACGUCACGAAAUAAUAAACAUGUUAGAUAUUUUUCAUUUCCAAACAAUGAAGAAAUGAUUGCGCAGUAGAAAAGACUUUGCAAAGAAAAUGUCAAUGCAAAGAACGGUAUGUAUAUAUGCAAUAUUGAAAGGUGGUAAAUGGAAUUUAACGAAUUAAAUAUAAUAGAAUAUAAUAAAA
Long non-coding RNA from Ooceraea biroi (clonal raider ant), 452 nucleotides. RefSeq lists it as uncharacterized. Lineage: Eukaryota; Metazoa; Arthropoda; Insecta; Hymenoptera; Formicidae. The record is from RefSeq and is a predicted model, not a curated record.